AGAUGAAUCAGAGGGCACCACUGAAGCUGGUACGUUUGUGUUAGCCAUAACUUCUUUAUUAGAAGUUAAGGAAUCCUCAAAAUAAGACCAACGCCCCUCCUCUCUGAGAUUAAGCUGCUGUCCCACCAGAAAACAGUAGGCUCAGAUCCUGGGCAUGAAGAAAGGAAUUAAUCUGGUCAUCGGCGUUUUUUUUUUUCGGUGGGGGAGCGGGUAUUAACGAUCUUGCCAAAAAACUGGGAUUUUG
Molecule: unclassified non-coding RNA, 244 nt
Filed under: Hevea brasiliensis (rubber tree)
Lineage: Eukaryota; Viridiplantae; Streptophyta; Magnoliopsida; Malpighiales; Euphorbiaceae
Source: RNAcentral